CUGGAGAAGACUGAGAGGGGAUCUCAUCAAUCCGUGCAAAUAUCUCCAAGGGCUGUCCCGAAUGAGUGGUCACCUACAUUAUGUGUGUCUCAUGUCAGUGUGACUUACAGCUCUGUUAGAAAUUAGCACGUGCCGUCUCUCAGAAUCCUGCUUGGUCUUAGUGACAAGGCACUGCCAGGGCCAGGUGAACCCUCAUGGAUGCCACUCUGGCACACCUGAACACGACAUUCCUCAGCGAGCACCAGCACAGGUUGGCAGUACAGUCCCUCAGCGUGAGCUGCUGGGAUCAGCAUGGUGUCGUGAUGGAAAACUGCUCACUUUGCUGCAUCUGUAAACUGCUUUAUUCCUGGAUUCCUCCUUGGAUCUGGCACUUACCUGUGCACACACAAUUCGUCAGGAAAUGAAGGUUUUAUCCACACAACACAGGCAAACCAGCACCGCUGAAAUUGGUGAGGAUAAAUCUCUGUGUUAAAAAUAUUCAUCUGGGAGCCUGGCAGUAAAAUAAGGGACAGUCAGGGUCAGGUCACCACUUGGAAUCACACUCCAACGUCUCUGAAUUGCUUUUCUUAAGACUGAUUUUUUAUGCAAAUGUUGAACAUAAGCAAAACAUUAAUUUUUUUUCCUUUUUUGCACCUGCCCAUGGAAGAGGUUUGGAACAAGAUCAUCUUUAAGGUCCCUCCCAAUCUAAACAUUUCUGUGAUCUGGUGAUGGUGGUGAAGCCAAGGAAGUGCCUUCAGUGAUGGACAUGGAAAAGACACCACCCAGAGAGCUCAUCCUGCCAACAUUACCAGCCCCUCUGACCUCCUGCUGGAAUAUGGAAACGCUCCCAAGUUUUUAAUUAAACACUGUCACAGCUAUAAAAAUAUAAUGUACAUCUUUUAAUAGCAACAUGAGAGCACUCGAGAGCGAGCUACCUGACCUCAGCUUUCCUGGUCACUUCACGUUGCAAGACACAACUCUAAUUAAUUCGUUUGCUGCCUGCAAGGGUAAAUGAUGGAAGACUGGUGAGGCACAGAAAAAAUAAGGGUCUUGAUACGACCUUAUUAUUUUAUCUUGCAGCUAACUGGCAGUGCCAGCUUUUCCUGCAUUUUUAAAAUUUUUUCUGUAGUUUAAUUUCUGCUGAUAUCCUGUUUUAGUCCUGUUCCAGAUCACGACUCUGGUGAUCGCUGCUUCACACAGAACCCUGAUUAUUCCUGUUUUUUCCCCCGAAGUGUCGAACUCCUCCUGCAUCCAGGCCGGAUUUCCCAGGGCGCAGCGCCACCGCCUGCCCACAGCCCUGCGCUCCCCGAAUUCCACAAAUCUGCGUUUUGCUCCAAAGCCGCUUUACUGACGUGUUCUCCACUUCACUGUCUCAUAACUAUAUCGGGAGGGAUUCAUGUACCAUAGAGUCAGAGUUUUUUCCCUUUGGGUGGGAAGGGAAGUUAAAUAUGAUAUAGUUCCAACCCCCUGCCAUAGGCAGGGAACCUUCCAGCUUGCUCAGGUUGAUCACGGAGCUGCUUUUAAGGUUAUUCAUUCCAUUAGUGACAGUGUAAAAGCCGCUUUUAUAUUUUCCUAUUGUGCCUAAGAGUGUUUAAAAUCCGCACACGGGGCUCUCCCAGCAUCGAUGCAGCUGAGCCUCUCACACGGGAGCACCUUUUGUGAGAGGCAGCGCUUUGUAACGGCGGCGAGAGCCCCGCUCUACAUGAAAACCUUUCCGUCGAUCGGUGAGGAGCGAACCGAGCGUCUGGGCCGGCCGGGCUGUUCGGUGC
Cyanistes caeruleus (blue tit) is the source of this 1748-nucleotide non-coding RNA. Lineage: Eukaryota; Metazoa; Chordata; Aves; Passeriformes; Paridae. The record is from RefSeq and is a predicted model, not a curated record.